Molecule: unclassified non-coding RNA, 353 nt
Filed under: plant metagenome
Description: partial contains 5.8S ribosomal RNA, internal transcribed spacer 2, and large subunit ribosomal RNA
Rfam family: 5.8S ribosomal RNA (bases 1-105)
Source: RNAcentral
AAGCUGCGAUAAGUAAUGUGAAUUGCAGAACUCAGUGAAUCAUCGAGUCUUCGAACGCACAUUGCGCCCCCUGGUACUCCGGGGGGCACACCUGUCCGAGCGUCGUCGUCGUACCCUCGAGGCCCCGUCUGCGUCCCCGGGCGUGGCGGGGCCUCGGUCUUGGGCCUGCACGGUCCGCCCCUUGGGCGGGGGCCCGUAAGCUAUGGAGUGGGUCGUCCCCGGGAGCCCCGAGCGCAGCGGCUGUACCCCAGGCUCGAGCAGGCUCCCGAGGGAGGCGGCCCCCGUCGGUGGCGCGCCCCGCAGCGCACGCAGUUUGACCUCGGAUCAGGUGGGGUUACCCGCUGAACUUAAGC